GUAGCAAUGACAGGAUGUCAUCUUCUUUCGUUUUUGUCUUUUUUAUUUUUCACGUGUUUCUCACAAGAUGGGAACUCGAGGGAAUAAAAAGUGCUGGGAAGUAAUUUUUGUUGGAACGUCUUGUGUAACAUCUUCUUUCGAUGAUGACCUUUUGGAUGGCUGCAUGAAGCUUGUUCCGCUUUAAAUUUCAAGGUUAAUCUAUUUCAAUUUGAAACUUGAGUUGCAACUGAACUUAAAUGAAAAGUGUUGGAUUUGGGCCUCUAUUUGUUUUAACUUGUACAGGGUUGAAGUGAUAGUGAUCUUAAAAGUACAAAAGCAGCAGACAAAAAUCAAUUAGCCACAAUAUAUAGUGUAUGGUUUCCUACUUUCUCAGUAUAAAGUUGAAUGUUUUGGUGAUAUAAUCUCUACAUCCAAAAUCAUAUAGACAGCUACUGCUGGCACUUGCAGUAGCCAAUGUUAACCAAAAUCAUAUAAUCUUAAAGUUGAAUGUUGUAUUUUCAUAAAUUAAAGGGAUUUCUCUUCUUUUCUUUGUCAAUUACAGUGCAUCAUAAUAAGUUUUCUUACUCAGUAAAUGCUAUUGUAAUUUUUUCACAGAGACUCCCCUGUUUUGCAACUAAUUCACUUCUGAAUAAAUCUGGGAAACAGAAAGGCAAUCAACAAAGAGUAAGGCAUCUUCUGAAGAAACAAAGAAAUUUAAUACCAUAAACUAAGCAGCACGUAGAAGGCAAAAACUGAGCACAAAUUUUCAGGAAGGGACAAACGAAAAAAACCAAAAAGAAAGCAAAGAAAAAUACAGACUCAAAUUCACAACACCCAUUUUCUUUCCAUUGGAACACUUUAAAUAGUUUAUUAAAUUUAUAAUGAUCUGAUUUCUACGCAUAUAAAAAAAUCAACUAAAUGAUCAAUUCUCUAUAAUUUCGGCAUUACUAAAAACAUCCAAACUAAUAAACAAUUAGUUAUUUUACUCAUUUUAAUAAACAUUUUAGUUAUGAAUUCACCAAACAUUUUGAACAAUUCAUAUUGAUGAAUUAACAUUUAAAUUUUAGAUUUUUUGAUUUAUUAUUUCCUUCGUGAGUUACUUCUAAAGUAUGCUAUAUAUCUUUAAGCAUUUUUAUAGAAUAUAAUUCUAUCAAAUUCACUUUUACCCAAUGCAUAAUAUAAAGUAUUCAUGGCUUUAACAUCCAUAAAAAAUAACUUUUUAUCAUUGUCCGUAUAUUCCCUUUUAGUUUUAGAAAUCUCAAUACCAUUUUUAAUUUGAUAGGUCUAGGAGAUCUAUUUUGUAUGGAUAGCCACAAAUUAAAAUCAAUAAAUUGAUAAUAAAUUAUCAUUAAACAAUUUAUUACUUGCUCUUUGGUAAUAAGAAUGUGAUUGUAAUAUUAUUUUGUAUGGAUAGUUUUAUCUAUCUAUUAUCUCAAUAACAAGAUUAACUUUGCAAUUAUAUAUCACACUUAUAUAAUCUCAAAUAAUAUUAAUUAAAAUGAAUCACAAAAAUUUAACACAGUAAUUCUGCAAAAAAAAUAAAAACAAUUUAAUAAACAAUUUAACUUUGCAAUUAUGUUUUUAUUUGUUUGUUUUUCUAUGAGACACAAUGGAAUUUUCAAUAGAAACUACAACAAUACAAAUAAUUACAAAUAUUUUUCUUUCAACAUCAACAUAAAAAAACAUUAUGCACUUUUCGAUACUUACGUAAUUCUAGGAUUAAAGAAACAAUAACAUCUAAGGGGGGUGAAUUGGGUGUUGCACUAAUUAUAUCAAAUAAUGGUGUUGCACUAAUUAUAUCAAAUAAUGCAAUAAUUAACAAUAUAAUUAAAGUGUUUAAAGUAAAUAGAUAAGGAAAUAGAUAUUACAAACUCGGUUUUUAAUGUGAUUCGGUAAGCCUACAUCUACACCUCAAGUACUAACCGUACUUGAGUAUUGUACUCUUUUACCAAUCCAAGUGAAAUAUACAAAUGCCCUUGAUAAAUCCACACCGAGAAAUUAUACCACUUGAAGUUUUUUCUCUUGGUGACAAUACAUCACUAAUGCUAGGAGUUUAUCCAAACUCACAAAUGUUUACAAUUAUAAUUUGUUUGCAACAAGAUUCACUCUCUCAUAAAGUAAAUUGUACAAUUGAAAACUAUAAUCUUUAUAACUCACUCGAUAGCACUCAAGAUGAUUGAAAGUGUGUAAAUAUAAUGAGUGUGAGACAUUAUACUCAUGUGUUAGAAUAUAAAGAUUUAAUUUAGCACAACUUAAAAGCAUGUUAUGAUUGAUGAUUUCUAAUUGAUUUUUUUUUAAAAUAACUUCUAUGUUAUAUAUGUUUGGAAUCUCUCUUUUAUUUGUUAUAUAUAUAUAUAUAAACUAAUUGUUUAUAGUUGUUGAGAUGUCUCUAACAGCUAAAGUAAUCUAUAUGCAACUUAAACAAAAGAAUUCCAAUUAAAUGGAAUUGCACUUAACAUGUAUUAUUUCAAAUGCAACAAUUGCAUAGAUAACAGACAACAAGGAAUUUAACAGAAGAUAUAUACACUUUACUUUUCCUACUAAAAUUAAACUAUUGGAAUUUAACAUAGUCAUAAUCAAUUUGUUCUUGUGAGAUUAUCUAUUACAUGUAUAACAAAUAUAUUAGAAAAUAAAUUGUUUUAAGAUUGUUAGAACACCUUAAAUAGUUCAUAAAAUUAUUGUUCCAUUUUACUAUAAUAAUCAAGUUUCCACAUAAUAUAAAUCAUGCAUAUAAAUUAAUAAUCAAAAUAAAAAUUAAAUUAAGAUAACAAUCAAUUUUUUAACUUUAAAAUAAUUUAUCAUCUAUUUUCUAAUACUAAUAGUAUGAUUGUAAUAUUAUUUUUUAAUUUAUUUAAUAAUUUAAUUUUGAUAGCACAACCAAAAAUAAAUAAUGAACCAAAAUUUAUAUGAUAUUUUUUAUAAAAAAUUUGAUAAAAAAAAUAUAAAAACAAAAAUAAUGUCUCAAUUAGAAUAAUUUUUUCAUUAAUGAGAAGGCCCACCACAGACCAAGAGGACAGCUUCAAUGAAGCCAAUGCAGGUGAUUACCCGUCGGCUAACAUCUCCUCGCGCGCCUAGCACCAGCUAAACCGCCUCAAUCUGAACAUGCACCAGACAAAGUCUAUGAAAAGACGCCAGGGAGCCUCAGCAGCCGAGAAGAAAGCACGGGAACACCCACCGCGCGAGAAGAAACGCGAAAAACAGGAGACGGAGCGCGGUAAAGACUGAAGCCACAGGAUUCACAUACAGUGAAGCACUCUUAGUUUUAUAUAUAUAUAAUUCUUUUAGUUUGUUAGUUAUGAACAGUGAAGCAGCACAAGAAUACAAUUCUCCUGUUUGUUUGCUGGAAAAUAGUUUUUUUUAGAAAGUGAAUUAUUUUCCGAUGUUUGGUAGUGUAAUGGAAAAUAAGUUAGAAAACAUUUUUCAGUGUUUGGUUAUGUCAUGGAAAAUGAGUUGGAAAAUAACUUAUUAAUAUUUUAUUUUUUUCAAUUUUAUUAAAAUAAUAAAGAAUAAAUCUUACAAAUUAAAAAGUUGAAUGAAAAUAAAAUUGAAAAAAAAUAUAAUUUCAUAAAUUAUCUUAAAUAAAAUAAAUAAUAAUCAAAAUAAUAAAAAUCAAAUCUAAAAAAUAAAAAAUUUGAUCGCUUCAUUAAUUUCUCGUUAGGAAAAUGUUGAGCUUCUCAGCAAUAUUUCCUUACCUUGUGCCGCUAACUUGACGGUAAAAUGUGAUUAAAGGAUCAAUUAAUUAUUUAAAUCAACUUGAGGGAUUAAUCUGUUUGUUUAACAAAAAUACAGACACUAGUUAAAUAGAAUUUAACUCAAAUUUUAAUCAUCAUAUGCGUGCGUGUGCGUGUGCGCACGCGUGCGAGCGAGGGUUUACUCGUUAAUUUUUUUAGAAGGAAUCUGGAAAAGAAUAAAGUCAUCUAUUUCACUUUGGUCCAACAUCCCUCAAAGGCGCAGCUGUGCAUCUAGUUAGGAAGAACAUUUUAUAACUCACCUCAAGGUCGAGCAUGGUCAGGGUUAUUGUGUUGUCUAUUCCGAGGAAGAUGUGGCGUUCAAUCCAUGUGAAUCGCACGACUUGUCCAUAUCUUUCUUAUUGAUUACAAAUAGCAUUGAGAAUUAAAGAAUAUUAUCUUAAUAAGUUCCAAUUUAUUCUACAAAACUAUAUAUAAAGAUGUGACAAAAAGAUGUAUACAAAUUAGUUAUUUAUUGUUUGUAAGUAUUAUUGUAUUGCAAAGACAAAAAUAAGAUGCAACUUAUGGCGUGGUCGUCCAACCUGGUUCUGGUUUUGAUCCUGUUCAAAAUCUAUUUUGUUGAAUUGUUGAUCUACUUGUGAGUUAUUGGGUUAACUAGAUCAAUUUUUUAAACAAAACAAUGCCAUUUUAAAAAAAAAAUUGGUUCUGACAUAGAAAUAUAAUAUUAGAAACUUAAACCUUAUUGAUUAGCAAAAACUCAAUGGGAAAUUUAGUUUUGAAAUAGAUUGUUGUAAAAUCAAAUAUGAAUUGAUAACCAGAAAGUUUGCUUAAAAUUGCAAUAACCUUAUAGAAGAAAGCAAACAUAAAUAGAAUUAUUAAAUUCAAUGGAGUUCAUAUAACCAGGAUCACGAGUUUAGCGAGUUAAGCCAUGAAACCCUAAUCGAUCAAAUAUGUCGCCGUUUCAAUUAAAAAAAAUACAUCUUAAAAAGAAUUAAGCUAAACCACGUUUCUACCUAUUAUCUGGGUUGUCUUUAGACUUGUCAAGUCGACUGAGCCAUAUUAGGACAACUUCCAUAUAAUUAAAUUUGAAACUCGAGCUAGAUAAGAAAUCAGGUCAGGAAAUUUUAAUAUUGAUUUGUUGAAUCGGAUUUAAUAACAAUGCCAAAGAUCUGAAUAUUUAUUUUUUACUCAAUUUUUUUUAGGUCCUGUUUGUUUGAUGGAAACAGUUUUUUUUUAGAAAGUGAAUUCCUGUAAAGUGAAUUAUUUUCUGAUGUUUGGUAGUGUGAUGGAAAAUAAAUUAGAAAAUAUUUUCCAGUGUUUGGUUAUGUUAUGAAAAAUGAGUUGAAAAAUAGCUUAUUAAUAUUUUAUUUUUUUUCAAGUUUAUUAAAAAAACGAGGAAUAAAUCUUACAAAUUAAAAAGUUGAAUGAGAAUGAAAUUGAAAAAAAUAAUCUAAUUUUAUAAAUUAUUUCAAAUAAAAUAAAUAAUAAUCAAAAUAAUAGAGAUCAAAUCUAACAAAUAAAAAAAUUGAAAGAUGAUGAAAUUAAAAUAAUAAUAAUUACAAUUUCAUAAAUUAUUUCAAAUAAAAUAAAUAACAAUUAAAAGAAUAAGGACCAAAUUUGAUAGAUAAAAAAUUUCAAUUAAAAAAAUGAUAAGACAAAAGCAAAUAACAAUCAUAAAAAUAAGGACCACAGUUAAUAUAAAAAUCAAAUUAAAUCAAAUUUUAAGGAAGGAAAUUAAAAAAAAAGAUUCAAACAAAAUAUAUAUCAAUUAAAAGUUUGAAGACUAAAUUUGAUAUAAUCAGCAAAUAAUAUGAUAUUUCUAAAUUUUUCACAACUUCUGGAAAAUGUUUUCCGUCCAAAAUAAAAGGAAAAUACUUUCCUGAAAAUCGAGUUAAAUUUUUCUUUGACUGUAAAGUGUUUUCCAUUGACCAACUUUUUUAAUGACAAACAAACACAUGAAUGUUUGGAAAGUGGUUUCUAGAAAAUUAUUUUCCAGGCAAACAAACACCCCCUUAAUUCAAUCACUAAAGAGUUAUCCAAGAAUAAUUAUUCUCCACUAGCAGUUGUUGCAUACUAAAUUUUUUUUGUCAAAACAUACAUGAUAGGUGGCUUCAAUAUCAAUCCACCAUUUUUUAGGAUUUUCCAUGAAGUUUACUUCUAAUAUAACUACAACAAGCUUAGUAGCUUUCUCAUCAACAUUCUCAAUCAUAUGCUAAGAAAUCAUGGUUUUGUUGAGCUUUGUUAUCAUCAUAGGCUUGAUGAUGGAAGGAUUAUUGCUUCAUCAUGCUUUAUAUUUAAGUUCACGCCACUCAAAUUAUUUUGGUUUUUUCCCCACAUGAAGAAUGUUUAGGAAUCGGGUUUGCCAUCUAAACCACAAAGAUUACUAGGUUAACAAGUACAUCGAAAUCAUUAACAAUAGUUUUAUCCAUCUAUUAUCUCAAUAAUAAAAUUAACUUUGCAAUUAUAUAUCACGCUUAUAUAAUCUCAAAUAAUAUUAAUUAAAAUGAAUCACAAAAAUUUAACACACUAAUUGUGCAAAAAAACAAUUUAAUAAACAAUUUAACUUUGCAAUUGUGUAUUUAUUUAUUUGUUUUUCUAUAAGACACAAUGUAAUUUUCAAUAGAAACUAUAACAAUACAAAUAAUUAUAAAUAUUUGUCUUUUGACAUCAACAUAAGAAAACAUUAUGCACUUUUUUAAAGUUACGAUAAAAACAAAUCUGAUUGAUACUUAUGAUAUUCUAGGAUUAAAGCAAUAAUAACAUCUAAUAGAGAUAAAUUAGGUGUCAAACUAAUUAUGUCAAAUAAUACAAAUAAACAUGCUAAACACAUAUAAUAUAAUAAUCAACAAUAUAAUUAAAAUGCUUAAAAUAAAUAGAUAAGAAAAGAGAGAUUACAAACUCGGUUUUUAACAUGGUUCAGUAAGUCUACAACCACAUCUCAAGUACUAAUCGUAAUUGAGUAUUGUAUUCUUUUACUAACCAAUAAUAUAUUAUUUCACCAGUAAUUAUUAUCCAAUAUGCAACUUUUUUUUCCAAUCUUCUGUUUUUUUUUUCCAUAUCAAUCCAACAAUAAAGAAAAUAACAUGUAACAUAAAAUUUCUUUCCCCGUAGAAUCAAUGCAACAAGUAUACAGAUACCACACAACAAACAAUUUAACAAGUCAUGUAAUUUAACAGAAGAUAUAUUUACUUUGCUUUUCCUACUAAAUUUAAACAACUUUUUUGUAAUCUAUGUCAACAUAUAAAACAUAUAUAUAAAUCAAUAAAAAAAAUAAAAAAUAGGUAGAGGUAAUGAUUAAUUUUUUAGCUUUAAAAUUUUUUAUCAUCGCCUCUUUAUGCUAGUAAUGUAAUUGCAAUAUUAUUUUAAAUUAAUUUAAUAUUUUAUUUUUGAUAACAUAACCAAAAAUAAACAGCGAACCAGAAUUUAUAUAGAGUUUCCUAUAAAAAUUUUGAUAAAAAAAAAUAUAAUAGAAAUAAGUUUAUAAAAACAAAAACAAUGUCUCAGUUAGAAUAAUUUUUUCAUUAAUGAGAAGGCCUGCCACAGACCAAGAGGAGAGCUUCAAUGAAGCCAUCCCAGCCGAUGCAGGUGAUUACUCAUCGGCUGACAUCUCCUCGCAUGCCUAGCACCAGCCAAACCGCCUCAAUCUGACAUGCACCAGACAAAGUCGAUGAAAAGACGCCAGGGAGCCUCAGCAGGCGAGAAGAAAGCGCGGGAACACCCACCGCGCGAGAAGAAACACGAAAAACAGAGACGGAGCGCGGUAAAGAUUGUGAAGCCACAGGAUUCACACAUAGUGCACCGUGUUUUAAUGAGUUAUAUGUAUAUAUAUAUAUAUAAUUAUUUUAGUUUAGUUUUAGUUUGUUAGUUAUGAACAGUGAAGCAGCACCAGAAUACAAUUCUUUUAGUUUGUUAGCGAAUUUGGAAAGAAUAAAGUCAUCUGUCAAGCUCUGUUCACUUUGGUCCGACAUUCUUCACCUCUCCCCACCUGAGCUCUCUCUCUUUCCCUCCUCCGCUCUAGGAAGCCGCCACCACCUCAACCAAUAAGGCUUCAAAUCUCCACCAGGUGCUUCCUUUUCUAUCAUGUUUUUUAUUUUUAAAAUUUACAUCUGUGUUUUCAUUUAUUUAACUGAAAUUCUUAUCCAGAGAGAUAAAUUCGAUUUUAAUAAGUAAAUUAAAAAGAUAUAUAAUCGGAUCGAUGAAAUCGUUGUUCGUGAACGCAACUCGAAGAAAGGCGUAAUCAGCCGAUUCUACUGUGGGUGGAGCAUUUAGUAUGGUCAGGGUUAUUGUGUUGUUUAUUCAAAGAAAGACAUGCCUGUAAAUUUGUUAAGUUGAUUCUUAUCAGUCUGCUCUUUAGAGUUAAUGAUAACAUGAAAUAUUCAUUGUUAAUGCUCGUUGUUUUCUUCGUCUUUUUCCUAGACUAAAACAUCCUAGACAGUCUCUUUGGGAUGGGUUAGUGUUUCUGGCCUCUUCAUCUUCAAUUUGUGCUGUGGUGAAAGGCCUCGUUUUAUGACUUUGUUUUGUAUUCUUCUUAUUUCUUUAUUCUUUUGGGGAUGUGGUGUUUUCCUCUUUCUAUUACACUAUUUACUCCCUACAAUAUUUAUUUUUUCAGAGAAGUAAAUAUAUGCAUAAAUAACAAAAACAGGAGGGGAAGGGGAAUGGGGUUUGAUAGUAAGUAUUUGCUUAGAAGGGAAUGCUUCUUCGGUUUAGAAGCACCAUGAAGAUUCUUUGCUUUGAAUGGCCGAAUACCCAGGAUCCUAGCACCUAGGCCUGAAUGUUUGUGUAUAUUUGUUAUGCAUCCAUAUUUGGCUGAAUUCUUUAAUAAAGUACAUGAUAUUAGACGGAAGUUCUUUUUAAAUCUAUUCAAGUCUGAAUAAACUGAUAUUCCAUUUUUCAUGUUCUUGAUGUGCUUUUGCUCUUCUUGUCGUUCCUGACUUUCUUUUAAGGGUCUAUUCUAACAUGCAAUAUGAUUUUUUUUUUCUUUUUGGUUGGCCAACUGUCCUAGGCGGAGAACCUAUCAUAGACACGGGUGAUUGGAGAAUUCAAUUGCAGCCUGACUCAUGGAAAAGAAUAAGCGACAAAAUGUAUGUGCAAGUGCUGCAAAAUAGUAAAUUUUUUUAUUUAUAUGAAAGAAAAGGAGAAUGGCAAAGGGUUAAUUAAAAUCAACAAGAUAGCCAUGAGGCAACCUCAAGUAUCACACACCUUUUUUUUUUUUCAUCUUUUAAUGUGUUUCUCACGAGAAGAAAACUUGAGGGAACAUAAAGUGAUGGGAAGUAAUUUUUGUUGGAAUUUCUUGUGUAAUCUCUUCUUUUGAUGAUGACCUCUUGGAUGGCUGCAUGAAGCUUGUUCCGCUUUUAAUUUCAAUUUAAAACUCGAGUUGCAAUUGAACUUAAAUGAAUGGUGUUGGAUUUAGGCCUUCUA
Molecule: long non-coding RNA, 9086 nt
Filed under: Populus trichocarpa (black cottonwood)
Lineage: Eukaryota; Viridiplantae; Streptophyta; Magnoliopsida; Malpighiales; Salicaceae
Description: long non-coding RNA (PTRI_LNC000852)
Source: RNAcentral